This is a small nucleolar RNA of 256 nucleotides. It matches the Rfam family "Small nucleolar RNA snR191".
UGCCAUCGCUAAGUCAAGGCUUCUUCCCGUGCAUAUUUUUUUUGCCACCUCUCUAUGGAAGUAUUUUGUCUGUUACAGCUUUGGUAGAUGGAUUCUAGCCCGCCGCCUUGGUUUCUUUCUGAAACUAGGGUUGACUAGCGAUCGUUUUGAGAGCUUUGUCGUAUAGGGCUUGCUGUGUCUUGUUUUGAGUUGAGUUCUGCUUCCACUUCAUUUUUGUGGCAUCAUAGCAGUUCUCUUAGUAACAUCUCACACAUUC